This 507-nucleotide ribosomal RNA is filed under the name uncultured bacterium. RNAcentral describes it as "partial 16S ribosomal RNA". It matches the Rfam family "Bacterial small subunit ribosomal RNA", at positions 30 to 523 of the family's 1533-position model. The record is from RNAcentral.
AUUGAACGCUGGCGGCAUGCCUACACAUGCAAGUCGAACGGCAGCGGGGGAGAAGCUUGCUUUUCCUGCCGGCGAGUGGCGAACGGGUGAGUAAUACAUCGGAACGUGCCCUGUAGUGGGGGAUAACUAGUCGAAAGAUUAGCUGAUACCGCAUACGACCUGAGGGUGAAAGCGGGGGACCGCAAGGCCUCAUGCUAUAGGAGCGGCCGAUGUCUGAUUAGCUAGUUGGUGGGGUAAAGGCCUACCAAGGCGACGAUCAGUAGCUGGGCUGAGAGGACGAUCAGCCACACUGGGACUGAGACACGGCCCAGACUCCUACGGGAGGCAGCAGUGGGGAAUUUUGGACAAUGGGCGAAAGCCUGAUCCAGCAAUGCCGCGUGUGUGAAGAAGGCCUUCGGGUUGUAAAGCACUUUUGUCCGGAAAGAAAUGGCUCUGGUUAAUACCUGGGGUCGAUGACGGUACCGGAAGAAUAAGGACCGGCUAACUACGUGCCAGCAGCCGCCGUAA